GAUGAACGCUAGCGGCAGGCCUAAUACAUGCAAGACGAACGGUAAGAUUUUUAGCAAUAGAGAUCCUAGAGUGUCGUAAGGGUGCGUAACACGUAUGCAAUCUGCCCUCAACAGGAGAAUAGCUCCCCGAAAGGGGAAUUAACACUCCGUCAGAUUGUGGUUCGGCAUCGGACAGCAAUUAAAACUGAGGUGGUUGAGGAUGAGCAUGCGCAUGAUUAGUUAGUUGGCGGGGUAACGGCCCACCAAGACGAUGAUCAUUAGGGGAACUGAGAGGUUGAUCCCCCACACUGGCACUGAGAUACGGGCCAGACUCCUACGGGAGGCAGCAGUAGGGAAUAUUGGACAAUGGGUGCGAGCCUGAUCCAGCCAUGCCGCGUGCAGGAAGACGGCCCUCUGGGUUGUAAACUGCUUUUGCCAGGGGAUAAAACGGCUCUGCGGAGCUAAUUGAAGGUACCUGGUGAAUAAGCCACGGCUAACUACGUGCCAGCAGCCGCAGUAA
This 499-nucleotide ribosomal RNA is filed under the name uncultured bacterium. RNAcentral describes it as "partial 16S ribosomal RNA". It matches the Rfam family "Bacterial small subunit ribosomal RNA", at positions 28 to 523 of the family's 1533-position model. The record is from RNAcentral.